AGGGCUUGACAUUGUACCGUACAUUUCCCUAGAAAUAGGGAGAAAUCCGCAAGGAUGGUAUAAC
RNAcentral lists this ribosomal RNA (64 nucleotides) under uncultured organism. Its description in RNAcentral is "partial 16S ribosomal RNA". The record is from RNAcentral.